GGAGGUAUAGAGGUAAGUGACUGUAGGUGGAGGUAAAGAGGUAUGGGACUGUAGGUGGAGGUAUAGAGGUAAGUGACUGUAGGUGGAGGUAAAGAGGUAUGGGACUGUAGAUGGAGGUAGAGAGGUAUAGGACUGGAGGUGGAGGUAAAGAGGUAUGUGACUGUAGGUGGAGGUAAAGAGGUAUGGGACUGUAGGUGGAGGUAAAGAGGUAAGUAACUGUAGGUGGAGGUAUGGGACUGUAGGUGGAGGUAAACAGGUUUGGGACUGUAGCUGGAGGUAAAGAGGUAUGUGACUGUAGGUGGAGGUAUAGAGGUAUGUGACUGUAGGUGGAGGUAAAGAGGUAUGGGACUGUAGGUGGAGGUAAAGAGGUAUGUGACUGUAGGUGGAGGUAAAGAGGUAUGUGACUGUAGGUGGAGGUAAAGAGGUAUGUGACUGUAGGUGGAGGUAUAGAGGUAUGGGACUGUAGGUGGAGGUAAAGAGGUAUGGGACUGUAGGUGGAGGUAAAGAGGUAUGAGACUGUAGGUGGAGGUAUGGGACUGUAGGUGGAGGUAUAGAGUUAAGUGACUGUAGGAGGAGGUAUGGGACUGUAGGUGGAGGUAAACAGGUUUGGGACUGUAGCUGGG
Molecule: long non-coding RNA, 623 nt
Organism: Oncorhynchus tshawytscha (Chinook salmon)
Lineage: Eukaryota; Metazoa; Chordata; Actinopteri; Salmoniformes; Salmonidae
Source: Ensembl